GAGAGUAUAGCUCAGUGGUAGAGUGCAUGCCUAGCAUGCAUAAGGGUCCUGGGUUCAAUUCCCAGUACCUCCA
This 73-nucleotide transfer RNA is filed under the name Camelus dromedarius (Arabian camel). It matches the Rfam family "tRNA". From Rfam's summary of the family: Transfer RNA (tRNA) molecules are approximately 80 nucleotides in length. Their secondary structure includes four short double-helical elements and three loops (D, anti-codon, and T loops). Further hydrogen bonds mediate the characteristic L-shaped molecular structure. tRNAs have two regions of fundamental functional importance: the anti-codon, which is responsible for specific mRNA codon recognition, and the 3' end, to which the tRNAs corresponding amino acid is attached (by aminoacyl-tRNA synthetases). tRNAs cope with the degeneracy of the genetic code in two manners: having more than one tRNA (with a specific anti-codon) for a particular amino acid; and 'wobble' base-pairing, i.e. permitting non-standard base-pairing at the 3rd anti-codon position. Lineage: Eukaryota; Metazoa; Chordata; Mammalia; Artiodactyla; Camelidae. The record is from Rfam by way of RNAcentral. RNAcentral also lists the same sequence under 1 other name.